Molecule: ribosomal RNA, 481 nt
Filed under: uncultured bacterium
Lineage: Bacteria
Description: partial 16S ribosomal RNA
Rfam family: Bacterial small subunit ribosomal RNA
Source: RNAcentral
ACUCAAAGGAAUAGACGGGGACCCGCACAAGCGGCGGAGCGUGUGGUUUAAUUCGAUGCGACGCGAAGCACCUUACCUGGGUUCAAUGCUAGUUGCACCAGGGGUAAUGCCCUGUCCCCGCAAGGGGCGAUUAGCACGGUGCUGCAUGGCUGUCGUCAGCUCGUGCCGUGAGGUGUUGGGUUAAGUCCCCUAACGAGCGCAACCCCCGUGGACGGUUAUCCCUCCGUUCAGACUGCCGCGCACAACGCGGAGGAAGGUGGGGAUGAUGUCAAGUCAGCACGGCCCUUACGCCCAGGGCCACACACACGCUACAAUGGGCUGGACAAUGGGCGGCAACACGGCGACGUGAAGCGAAUCCCGUAAACCAGUCCUCAGUUCGGAUGGCAGGCUGCAACUCGCCUGCCUGAAGUCGGAGUCGCUAGUAACCGCCGGUCAGCACACGGCGGUGAAUACGUUCCCGGGUCUUGCACACACCGCCCGU